This 437-nucleotide ribosomal RNA is filed under the name uncultured Clostridium sp. Its description in RNAcentral is "partial 16S ribosomal RNA". It matches the Rfam family "Bacterial small subunit ribosomal RNA", at positions 341 to 792 of the family's 1533-position model. Lineage: Bacteria; Bacillati; Bacillota; Clostridia; Eubacteriales; Clostridiaceae. The record is from RNAcentral.
ACGGGAGGCAGCAGUGGGGGAUAUUGCACAAUGGAGGAAACUCUGAUGCAGCAACGCCGCGUGAGGGAAGAAGGUCUUCGGAUUGUAAACCUCUGUUUUUGGGGACGAAACAAAUGACGGUAGCCAAAGAGGAAGCCACGGCUAACUACGUGCCAGCAGCCGCGGUAAUACGUAGGUGGCGAGCGUUGUCCGGAUUUACUGGGUGUAAAGGGUGCGCAGGCGGGACUGCAAGUUAGAUGUGAAAUACCGGAGCUUAACUCCGGAACUGCAUUCAAAACUGUAGUUCUUGAGUGGAGUAGAGGUAAGCGGAAUUCCGAGUGUAGCGGUGAAAUGCGUAGAUAUUCGGAGGAACACCAGUGGCGAAGGCGGCUUACUGGGCCAUAACUGACGCUGAGGCACGAAAGUGUGGGUAGCAAACAGGAUUAGAUACCCUAGUA